Molecule: long non-coding RNA, 1222 nt
Organism: Dicentrarchus labrax (European seabass)
Lineage: Eukaryota; Metazoa; Chordata; Actinopteri; Moronidae
Exons: 3
Source: RefSeq, a predicted model, not a curated record
ACACACACACACACACACACACACACACACACACACACACACACACACACACACACACACACACACACCUCUCUUCUCCUGGUCAGCCUACACCUCCCCUAAUGGUGUGAAAAGCAAAUGUUAUCUGUUUCACAACUCACAGGUGUUCUACAAAAAACACUGACUCAAUAAUCAUAAUAAUAAAUAUUAAGAGAACUCUAACAUAAAGUAAAAAAAAACAAAAAAAACAGAGAAUAAUAAUUAAAACACUAAUUUAUAUAAUAUAAUAUAUUAUGACUACAACAUCAACAUAACCUAUUUCUUCAAUUAGAAACAACAAGGUCCUGGCAGAUGCUCAGAAGCUUAAUUAUUAACCUCUUUACAAGAAAUCCAGCAUGCUCUCUCCUCACCCUCUCCUUUCAGUCCACUUAUAAAGAAAGAUGUUAGUGCUGCUCUUACUUACGUCCAUAAUGCCUCCCACCAUCCAUACUAGCUGUGAUAUUUGGCCCAGCCAUCCUACCCACCAUGUUCCACAACAGUAAAAGCCCCAACACAGAGCCCACCAGCACCCUCUCUGCAACUGUAAGAGGCAACUGGAAUGGAAAACAUUGUCUGUUCCUACUCAGCGAGGGGGAAAAAAGAGCAAGAGCACAAUGUGCAGUGAAUGUCUGUGGGAGACCGGGAGAGCAUACGGUGUCUAGCUCUAGCGUGGAUGCAGUGCAAAGAGAUUGCAGCACCAUCUGCUGGUAUACACAGAGUCCUAGAAAAGAAUGAAAAAGAAGCAAAGAGGAAAACUCUGAGAAAGCUGACGAGGGGAAGCAUGUUUUACUUGGGAAAUGAAAUAUUUAGUGACCUGUUGCUUUUGCCCUUCCACUGGAGGCAGAGGCCCUACAGCUGAGUAAACAGAAGGGCUGCAUAGUGGACAGGUAACAACUAGUGCCCAACCUCUGCAGCACUGACCAAUAAAACCACUGUUACCCCGGACACAGAGAUCAUACCUAAAAUUAAAAUAUGGCUUUUUUCCUUUUCUCUCAAACAAAAUAGAAAUGACUGUGUGCAAUUCAGAAAUAUUUUUCUCCGCUACUCAUUUUGAGGAAUAAAUCAAAUGUAAACUGCAGAACUGAACUUAAUAUGCAAUUAACUUUAUGUCCAUAAUGUGUGUACUAUUGUGUAUUUGAGCAGCAGUUGUAUGACAAUACUUUAACAAUAAAUAUGUGAGUGUACAUUUUUCUUAGCAAUGGUC